GAUGAACGCUGGCGGCGUGCCUAAUACAUGCAAGUCGAGCGAGCAGACGAGGAGCUUGCUCCUCUGACGUUAGCGGCGGACGGGUGAGUAACACGUGGAUAACCUACCUAUAAGACUGGGAUAACUUCGGGAAACCGGAGCUAAUACCGGAUAAUAUAUUGAACCGCAUGGUUCAAUAGUGAAAGACGGUUUUGCUGUCACUAUAAGUGGGUCCGCGCCGCAUUAGCUAGGUGGUAAGGUAACGGCUUACCAAGGCAACGAUGCGUAGCCGACCUGAGAGGGUGAUCGGCCACACUGGAACUGAGACACGGUCCAGACUCCUACGGGAGGCAGCAGUAGGGAAUCUUCCGCAAUGGGCGAAAGCCUGACGGAGCAACGCCGCGUGAGUGAUGAAGGUCUUCGGAUCGUAAAACUCUGUUAUUAGGGAAGAACAAAUGUGUAAGUAACUAUGCACGUCUUGACGGUACCUAAUCAGAAAGCCACGGCUAACUACGUG
This 496-nucleotide ribosomal RNA is filed under the name uncultured bacterium. Its description in RNAcentral is "partial 16S ribosomal RNA". It matches the Rfam family "Bacterial small subunit ribosomal RNA", at positions 28 to 507 of the family's 1533-position model. The record is from RNAcentral.